Molecule: ribosomal RNA, 253 nt
Filed under: uncultured bacterium
Lineage: Bacteria
Description: partial 16S ribosomal RNA
Rfam family: Bacterial small subunit ribosomal RNA
Source: RNAcentral
GACGAACUGUCCUAACGUUGUUCGGAAUCACUGGGCUUAAAGGGCGCGUAGGCGGUCCAACAAGUCGGGGGUGAAAUACUGCAGCUCAACUGUAGAAGUGCCUCCGAUACUGUAGGUCUAGAGGGAGAUAGGGGUGUGCGGAACUUCCAGUGGAGCGGUGAAAUGCGUUGAUAUUGGAAGGAACGCCGGUGGCGAAAGCGGCGCACUGGAUCUCUACUGACGCUGAGGCGCGAAAGCCAGGGGAGCAAACGGG